Molecule: ribosomal RNA, 595 nt
Filed under: Kryptoperidinium foliaceum
Lineage: Eukaryota; Dinophyceae; Peridiniales; Kryptoperidiniaceae
Description: partial Bacterial large subunit ribosomal RNA
Rfam family: Bacterial large subunit ribosomal RNA
Source: RNAcentral
AUGCUGACAUGAGUAGCGAUAAAGAGGGUGAGAGACCCUCUCGCCGAAAGACCAAGGGUUCCUGCGUAAAGCUAAUCUGCGCAGGGUUAGUCGGCCCCUAAGGCGAGGCCGAAAGGCGUAGUCGAUGGGAACCACGUUAAUAAUCGUGGGCCUGGUGGUAGUGACGGAUCUCGUGUGUUGUAUCUCCUUAUUGGAUUGGAGGUGCAGCGAAGAGGUUCCAGGAAAUAGCUCCACCGUAUAAACCGUACCCGAAACCGACACAGGUGGUCAGGUAGAGAAUACCAAGGCGCUUGAGAGAACUCGGGUAAAGGAACUAGGCAAAAUGGUGCCGUAACUUCGGGAGAAGGCACGCCGGUGGUAUGUGACGCCCUUCGCGGGUUGAGCAGAAGCCGGUCGAAGAUACCAGGCCCCUGCGACUGUUUAUUAAAAACACAGCACUGUGCAAACACGAAAGUGGACGUAUACGGUGUGACGCCUGCCCGGUGCCGGAAGGUUAAUUGAUGGGGUUAGCGUAAGCGAAGCUCUUGAUCGAAGCCCCGGUAAACGGCGGCCGUAACAAUAACGGUCCUAAGGUAGCGAAAUUCCUUGUCGGGUA